UUGUUCUCAUUGGGGAGCCAUUUGGCUGAGAUUGUUAGGCAUACGUGCUUUAUAGCAGGACCCAUUGAACCUGAACCAGGUAAUGCUGGCGUAGGAAUUGAGAUGCUCGAACAU
Molecule: non-coding RNA, 114 nt
Filed under: Photobacterium angustum
Lineage: Bacteria; Pseudomonadati; Pseudomonadota; Gammaproteobacteria; Vibrionales; Vibrionaceae
Description: Vibrio angustum TPP sequence
Rfam family: TPP riboswitch aptamer (THI element)
About the family: Vitamin B(1) in its active form thiamin pyrophosphate (TPP) is an essential coenzyme that is synthesised by coupling of pyrimidine and thiazole moieties in bacteria. The previously detected thiamin-regulatory element, thi box was extended, resulting in a new, highly conserved RNA secondary structure, the THI element, which is widely distributed in eubacteria and also occurs in some archaea.
Source: RNAcentral